AUUUUUGGACUCAGUAGAGCAUUUGAAAAUGACAGAUAAAAAAUCUAAUACUAAAAAACAGAAUCAGAAAACUGAUUUUAAAGUCUCAAAUAUCAGAAGCAUAAAAAAGUUAUUUUUUCAAAAUUAAUUCUGAUUUUGAAUUCAAACUUCAAAUUUUUAUUUUUUAUUUUAGAUUCAAAUUAUAAAUUUAAUAUAAAAUUUAAAUUUCAAAAUUUUAAAUUCAUUAUUAAAAUUUUUAAAUAUCAAACUUUCAAAUUUAAAAUUUAAAAAAUUAGAUUUUAAAUUUAAAUUUAAGUUUCAAAUCUCAAAUUUUAAAUUCUAAAAUUCAAAAUUUUAAAAUUUAAAUUUCAGAUAAAAUUUAAAUUUUGACAUUUCAUAUUUUGGAACUUAAAUUUAC
This 397-nucleotide long non-coding RNA is filed under the name Ananas comosus (pineapple). Its description in RNAcentral is "long non-coding RNA (ACOM_LNC031887)". The record is from RNAcentral. Lineage: Eukaryota; Viridiplantae; Streptophyta; Magnoliopsida; Poales; Bromeliaceae.